This 1840-nucleotide long non-coding RNA is filed under the name Nicotiana benthamiana. RNAcentral describes it as "long non-coding RNA (NBEN_LNC004857)". Lineage: Eukaryota; Viridiplantae; Streptophyta; Magnoliopsida; Solanales; Solanaceae. The record is from RNAcentral.
CCACCGUUACACUUUCGGGCCACAUUUACCCUUCCACCGUUAAAACUUGUUUCCUCAAUUUUUUUAAACACGUGGCAUUCUCUCAUUAGUUCAUAUUAACCCAUCCAUUGAAGUCUUGCCACCCGACCGAUCCGAAGCCAAAUAACCCGCCCCGACCCCUGGGUAUUUAUUUACUCAAUCCUUAAUUUCCAAUGGUUUUAGGUGGUCCAUGCUGUUCAAGGUAAAGUUCCAGUUCUUCUUGAUGGAGGAAUUAGGCGAGGAACAGACAUAUUCAAGGCCUUAGCACUAGGCGCAAAAGCUGUUCUGGUAAACUUAAUGAUUUGAAUAAAUGGAUUUAACUUAUAUACACAGAGAUUGUAAAUAUGAUUACACUACCAGUGUAAUUUAACCUAAUUCAUAUUCGCGCAGAUUGGUCGACCGGUUGUCUACGGCCUGGCCACUAAGGGAGAGUCUGGGGUAAAGCAAGUCAUUGAAAUGCUGAAGAAUGAACUUGAGCUGACCAUGGCUCUUGCUGGCUGCUGCAAUGUGAAUGACAUUACCAGAAGCCAUAUUAAGACAGAGAAAGAAAGGUUCCUUUGUAGGAUGUAAUUUCCAUCCUCUGUUAUUUAAAUGAGUUUAAGUUCUAUGUACUGAUAAUGUAAAAAAAUAUUUAUACAUCAGGUCACUUAAAAGUAAUUGCAGGUAAGUCUAUUUAAGUAGCAUUGAUUGGUAACCUAUAAUAAGCUGUCAUAUUUCCAUUGACCUAUAAUAAGCUGGCGUAUCUCCCUUUUGCUUAGGAUUCUUGUACAACUGAUACACUUUCAGAUGCUAUGCUUUGCUUAUCACCUUUGUAGGAUAAAACUUGAAAAUGGAAAUUAAAAGAUUGUGUAUGAGAAUUGGGUUUUCUUAGUUACUCGUACUUGCUAUUUUUUACCUGAAAGUUUUAUUCAGCAAGAUAAUUUUUCUGAUCAAAUCCAGAAGAUAUGAUGACUAUGAACUGUAAGAGAAUAACCAGAAAAACAAGAAUCGGUCGGGUGGCAAGACUUCAAUGGGUGGGUUAAUAUGAACCAAUGAGAGAAUGCCACGUGUUUAAAAAAAUUGAGGAAACAAGUUUUAAAAUAUUGAGGAAACAAGUUUUAACGGUGGAAGGGUAAAUGUGGCCCGAAAAUGUAACGGUGGGGGUAUAUUUGUUAAAGAAUGCAAACGGAUGGUAAAUGUAGCUUAUUUUGAAUAGUACAAGGGCAAAUCUGACCUUUAACCGUUUAUAAAAUGACUACAUCACAAAACAAUUUCGAGUCAAAAGAGGCUGAGACCUCAAAUCCUGGAUUCUGCUUUUGAAAAUCUGAUAUGCACUACAGUAGGUCAUUUAGCAGGAAAAAACUGCAACUAAGACAGUUUGAGGCAUAAAACAAAAAUCUAAAAAAGAAAGAAGAAUUAAAGAAGCAUACCGCCAUCAUUACAGAGAAAUUUCAAGACCUCUCCAGCUGCAUCUGACUGCUCAACAUGAAAAAGAGAGGUUAGCAGAUAUACCACAAUAAAAAUCAAUAUGUUAGCAGAAAACGUUUUCAAGGAUGUACUUUAACCGCAAGUUCCGUCCCAAACUGAUCCACAAAGCCAAUAGUCUGUCCCACUUUAAUAACAUCACCCUGCACUCAAGUUCGAGGCAUGUAUAGAGUCAAUCAUCAAGUUAUAAUCCUAUGAAGUGCAGGUCAAGUUCAAUCCUUUUUUUCUUUGAUAAAGUAAUGUAAUUUUAUUAAUGUUUAGUACCAAGAACAUACCGUAAAAGUACAGAAGAUUAACUAGGUAAAGUUCAAUCCCACCAUAAGCUUGUUAGUAAACUGUAUUUGUAAAUAGUAAUUUC